This is a long non-coding RNA of Felis catus (domestic cat), 3154 nucleotides long. RefSeq lists it as uncharacterized. The record is from RefSeq and is a predicted model, not a curated record. The transcript is spliced from 2 exons. Lineage: Eukaryota; Metazoa; Chordata; Mammalia; Carnivora; Felidae.
GGCAUUGAGGAGGGCACUUGUUGGGAUGAGCACUGGGUGUUGUAUGGAAACCAACUUGACAAUAAAUUAUAUUAAAAAAAAAAAGAAAGAAAGGCAUUGCUCAGAGCAUGAAAGCACAAGCCAUAGACUGAGAGGAAAUAUUUGUAUCUUGUAAAGGACUUGUGUCCAGAAUAUAUUUUUAAACCCUCAGGACAAUAAUAAACAUAAAUAACCCACCUUAAAACCUGGUUCAGAGAUGGGAACAAGAGGUGAACAGAUGAUAUAGGAAUGGCAAAUGAGCACUUUUCCUUAGGGAAUGCAAAAUAAAACCAUGAGAUACCCAGUUACACCAAUUACAAUAGCUAAAAUUAAAAAGGCUGACUAUAUCCAGGGUUGAGAAAGAUAGGUAGGAAUGAGAACCCUCAUGCAUUGUUGGUGAGAAUGUAAAAUGUUAGAACCACUUUGGAAAAUAGUUUGGCAGUUUCUUAAAAACCUAAACAUAAACCCACCAUAUGAUCUAGCUAUUCUGCUCCUGGGUAUUUACUCAAGAGAAAAGAAAGCAUACGCGUGUGCAAGGACCUGUACUUGAAUGUUCGUAGCUCCUUCAUUUGUGAAAGCCAAAUGUCCAUCAACAGGUAAAUGGAUAAACAUAUUGUGGUGCAGGUUUCCCUUGCUAUCCGAGAGUAGAGCAUUCCUACGGAUUGUUUCAUACGCCAAAAUGGAGUAAAGGGAAGAAGCAAUUACCAUUCAUGUGUAGGGAAACAUUUUUUACUUUUCCCAGACCCCAAAAUAACUUCUCUUACGCUUUUCUGAUACCUUAAGACGCAUCUUGUUAACGGAUGCGCACAAUAAUCAAGAUAAAGCACAGAUGCUCACAGGCACAGUUCAAAGCUCUGGUGGCUUGAUGCUGAGACACUGAGUGUAGUUGCCGGGCCCCUCUAGCUGAUCAGGGUGUGCAUUGCCUCUGUAACAGCUCAUCGCAAAACAAACACAGAAUGCGAUUUUUUUUUUUGCUUUUCUCCUUUUUUUCGUAAAAGCAAAAGUUCUCUUCAGGUUUCUUUCGGUUAGCAAAAACGGGUAGAAAAGUAGGUCUUUCAUAAAAGUGAAGGGACAGAAUGGGAACCUUUGAAAAGUAGGAGACACUUACAUAUCCAUCCCACGGAAUACUAGUCAGCAACGUAAAAGAUGAACCAUUGGUAUACGCAGCAACAUAGAUGAGCCUCAAAAUAAUUUUGCAGAGUGAAAGAAGCUAACAAAACAGUCUGAUGGCAACACAUCUAUAGCAACGGAAAGCAGAUCAGUGAUUUCCUGGAGCAGGGGAUAGAAAGGGUAGGAGGGAGGGAUUACCAAGAUGUAUGAGGAAUAUUGGUUUUGCAUCCUUCAGCUGACGCACACUAUCAUGAUCGUGGUGACGGUUUCAUAGGUACAUACAUUGUCAGAACUGAUCUGAUUGUUCACUUUAUACAUUAUGUCAUGAUGAACGUUAGGUCAUGAUGUCAAUUAUAUCUCAUUAGGCUGUUUUUAAAAAGCAAAAAAGGAAUACAUUAGAAGCAUAUUAAAGAAUCCUUUAUAGGCAGAUAAUGGUGUUGAUUGCUUGGGAAGUGGAUGCAGGUAGGCAGAUGAAGAACUCGAAAAAUGAUAAAAACAGCAAAUCAAAACAAGACACCAUUCCUACUCUAGGUUAUAUGUCUCUAGGAUGGAAGUUGUACAUUAAGGGCACGCUGUUCUAAGUAGCCACAGUCUUGAAAGACAUUCCUCAUGUUGAUCAUCACAACAUAAGGUGUACCCUCAAGAAGGAAACCGGUGAAGUUAGGCUUUCGGGAGACAAGAGAGGAUUCUCUCUCUCUCUAGACUGUUCUAGGGUCUUGUUGGAGGGGGAUGAAAUUUAGCCUCCACUUGGCGAUGCCCAUCAAUAGGUCAUUCCCUACCCUUUUAAUAACUCCUCCCCAGGAGAAGUGCAGUGACUUCUCCGAUGGAUGUGUUUCCAUCCUUAACCUUCCUCUUUGGAACAAGAUGCCUUUAGGCAGCAUACAUUCUCCUCUGUUCCUUCUUGAGGUGGGUUUUUUUUUUUGUUUUUUGUUUUUUUUAACAGGUGCAAUUGGCCUUUCCCCCAAAUAAAGAGGGACUUAUUUGGAGAAGAAGCCUGAUGUGAUUAGAUGCUGCAUGAAACUGAGACUGCUCUCCAUUCACAUCAAGCUUCAGGCUGCCAACCAUCGUUAAUGAAGUGUGAACCUGAAGGACUGAAUCAAGGCGAUCUCACACCACAACUUCUAGAAAACAAAACAGAACAAAAAAACAGCAAACAACAACAAAACUUGCAAUGUUCAGGGAACAUCUCCUUUUUCAUUUUUGCAAGUAAGUGUUCAAGUGUUGGACAACACAAUCCAUCCUACUGAAGGUGCCCUGCUCAUGUGCUGUGUUCACUCCUGCUGUUGAGGUCCCUGAAACUUCUCAGUUCUGGUCCUCUCUGAGUCUUGGUUUACAUUUGUCUGCAAUUCAUUGAGCUUCCCCCAAAUCUUUCCAUUAAGUUCCCUUCUCAGCUCAGUUAGCCAGAAUGUCUUCCUGUUGAUUGUAACCAAAAAACAAAACAAAACAAAACAAAAUAAACAAACAAAAAACCCUUUAACUGAUAUACCUUGUUUAAUAAAGAUAUUCAAAUCUUUCCAUUUCCCCUGUUAGAGCAAAAGGUGUAUCUCGAGAUUUCAGGAGAAUGAAUACAAGAACGAAAUCUAAAGGAAAUGACCACGGGUUUCCCCUUAGGAAACUUUAAGUCUUUGGAGACUGGGUGAAGGAAUGCAUUGUAAUUCCUCAUGUCCAGGCUGUUAUAAUGGGAAUAAUUCGGGGAGGCUCUGAUCCUAUGAGGUUUUUUGGUUUUUUGUGUUUUGUUUUGUUUUGCUUUUUUAUCCACGAGUGCUUAUCAGGGUGCCUACCACAGUCUGGGUACAAAGUUAGAGAGCACAUACACCUUAACCUUCUAGCAGCAUGGCUGGGGGUGCUAUCACAUGAAGAAGACUACAUUCUUUGUUGGAGAAUACCAUGGAAUAUCACUUUGCCAAGUGCCAAGAUACUGCACAUGGAGUUGAUGUUCCUUCUUAGCAUCUAUAGCCCAUUAUGCUCACCUUGCAUUCAUGUUAAAUGAAUUAACCUUCUAUUGAAUAAACUGCUGACCACCUUG